AUGGAAACUCACUUCGCUCUGUUACCAAAGCCCAAACUCCUACUCUUGCUACUUCGCUGAAUCUACAUCAUCUCAUAACAACUUGAUGAGAAGUCAUGACUGCAUCUGAACAGAAAGAUAUGGAAGCAUAAACACCAAACUGUCCUCACUGGCUCCUUCUAGGAAGAAAACUAAGAAGCCGAUGGUGGAAGAUGGGCUUUCAUUUUAUUGUUGUUAUUUAUUCUGCAUUGCUUGAUUUUUUAUUUUUAUUUUUUAAUGGAGUCUCG
Molecule: long non-coding RNA, 266 nt
Organism: Pan troglodytes (chimpanzee)
Lineage: Eukaryota; Metazoa; Chordata; Mammalia; Primates; Hominidae
Exons: 2
Source: RefSeq, a predicted model, not a curated record